AGUGAACGCUGGCGGCGUGCCUAAUACAUGCAAGUCGAACGGCGUGGCGCACGGGUGAGUAAUAUAUAGCUAAUCUGCCCCGUGCUGGAGGACAACAGUUAGAAAUGACUGCUAAUACUCCAUAGCAAGGGAUGAGACUAUAUCGUAUCAGCUAGUCGGUGGGGUAACGGCCUACCGAGGCUAUGACGCGUAACUGGUCUGAGAGGAUGAGCAGUCACAUUGGAACUGAGACACGGUCCAAACUCCUACGAGAGGGAGCAGUAGGGAAUAUUGCGCAAGGGGGGAGACCCUGACGCAGCAACGCGGCGUGGAGGAUGAUACUUUUCGGAGCGUACACUCCUUUUAUUAGGGAAGCGGUACCUAACGAAUAAGCACCGGCUAACUCCGUGCCAGCAGCCGCGGUAAUUC
Molecule: ribosomal RNA, 408 nt
Filed under: uncultured bacterium
Lineage: Bacteria
Description: partial 16S ribosomal RNA
Rfam family: Bacterial small subunit ribosomal RNA
Source: RNAcentral